UACGUAGGGUGCAAGCGUUAAUCGGAAUUACUGGGCGUAAAGCGUGCGCAGGCUGUUUUGUAAGUCAGAUGUGAAAUCCCCGAGCUCAACUUGGGAACUGCGUUUGAAACUACAAGACUAGAAUAUGUCAGAGGGGGGUAGAAUUCCACGUGUAGCAGUGAAAUGCGUAGAGAUGUGGAGGAAUACCAAUGGCGAAGGCAGCCCCCUGGGAUAAUAUUGACGCUCAUGCACGAAAGCGUGGGGAGCAAACAGG
RNAcentral lists this ribosomal RNA (253 nucleotides) under uncultured bacterium. Its description in RNAcentral is "partial 16S ribosomal RNA". It matches the Rfam family "Bacterial small subunit ribosomal RNA", at positions 524 to 776 of the family's 1533-position model. The record is from RNAcentral.